Long non-coding RNA from Carassius carassius (crucian carp), 1485 nucleotides. RefSeq lists it as uncharacterized. The record is from RefSeq and is a predicted model, not a curated record. Lineage: Eukaryota; Metazoa; Chordata; Actinopteri; Cypriniformes; Cyprinidae. The transcript has 3 exons.
AUUACCUCAAUAAAAACCUUUAAAAAGACUCUAAUAUAUCAACAACUAUAACAAAUAUUUUCAGACUGGCGUUAUCCAAUGUUCAGUUUUCUAUUCUGGAAAUGUAUACAUCUUAAUAAAAACAGUUGUUAAUGUAACCAAUAUUUUUUUUACCCUCUUCACCUGGGGUGUUGUUUUAGAAAACAAACCUACAUGAAAAAAAAUCAUGUGCAAUUUCCAUAAAAAAAUAAGCUUCAACAGAAGGAUCCAAGAUGGACAAAUCCACUCAUAAUUACAGUACUUGAUCUCAUAGGCUGAAAUGAGAGGAUUUAGUAAUGACCUGGCAACACGGCGGACCGUCGGCAGCAUGCUUAAUUCACUCAUUCACUCCCUACUACCAUGGUGUUCAAUCCAAACCCCACUCCUCAAGCUUGGCUUAGUGUUGGCAUGGAAAUCCUGACUGUUUGCUUUCCAAACACAUUCAGACAAGAAAGUACAUGAUCUCGCCAGUCUUAGCCCAGCGGAGCUGAACUACACAGUCGACAAGGACACGGGAACGUCCUUAUCAAUCCACCAGCCGAUCUCAAACGCACACACAAACAGAUAUUAAUGGAUUUGCAUAGAUGUCAAUCUGAUGGCUUGGGUUUCUGAAGACAAGCGGCCAGCAGGGUUUAUGAAAAUGAGCUAUUCCUGCAGUUGCCAGGAAAAUGAACUGGGGCACAGAACAGUGCAGGCAGUGAUCACACGCGGGUUAGAUGGUAGUUGGAGCCGUUAUGACAAGGCAUGGAGGAAGGUGCCUCUGAGUUACUCAUUACAUUCUUUCUGUCCCAUCAUUGCUGCCUUCCUAAUUACCAGGCUAAUUUCUCCAGUCUCUCUGUGCCACUGCCAUCACACAAUGGAGCCUUUGUGUGUGAAAACACGUGUGUGUGUAAGAUGGCUGAGCUCUCGUUCAGCUGAAAUGCAACUGUGGUUCAACCUGACCCCAGCAGUGGGAACUUGUUUGUGGUGAGGUCACCCAGAUAACUUGAACCUACCAGCCAAAACGGUUACAGCUAAUUGUCCAGCUGAGCAGAUUCUUUCCCCCGCAGCAGAACACAGAGGCUCAAGUCCAUUUUCCUGUCUGUUGGAGUUAAAUAGGACUCAUCAACUGACUGAACAGGUGCUGUAUCUUACACCAGACAGAUCCACACACACACACCCACACACAUUAUGCAAUGCAUAUUGAAAUAUUGAAAUAUUCAACAUAUGUUAAUAUAAAUCCAAAAAUUCAAAAAGGAUGUGAAAGCACCAUAAAUUAUCAUAAAAGUAGUUAAAAUGACAAAUGACUGUCAUAAAUCCCAAGUCUUCUGAAAUCAUAUGAUAACUAUUUGUGUGAAAGUUGCUAUUAAAUGAAAUUGUUGACAUAUACCUGACUUCUGAAUGCAUGAAACGAGUAACAAUGAUGGAUUCAUGAAUGACUCAUUCUUGUUCAUCUGACCGUUUACAAUGAAUCAGUUACAAUUUACA